RNAcentral lists this ribosomal RNA (460 nucleotides) under uncultured bacterium. Its description in RNAcentral is "partial 16S ribosomal RNA". It matches the Rfam family "Bacterial small subunit ribosomal RNA", at positions 338 to 795 of the family's 1533-position model. The record is from RNAcentral.
CCUACGGGUGACAGCAGUGAGGAAUAUUGGUCAAUGGACGCAAGUCUGAACCAGCCAUGCCGCGUGCAGGAAGACGGCUCUAUGAGUUGUAAACUGCUUUUGUACGAGGGUAAACGCAGCUACGUGUAUCUGUCUGACAGUAUCGUACGAAUAAGGAUCGGCUAACUCCGUGCCAGCAGCCGCGGUAAUACGGAGGAUUCAAGCGUUAUCCGGAUUUAUUGGGUUUAAAGGGUGCGUAGGCGGUCGGAUAAGUUAGAGGUGAAAUCCCGAAGCUCAACUUCGGAAUUGCCUUUGAAACUGUUCGGCUAGAGAGAGGGUGCGGUAUGCGGAAUGUAUGGUGUAGCGGUGAAAUGCUUAGAGAUCAUACAGAACACCGAUUGCGAAGGCAGCUUACCAAACCACGUCUGACGUUGAGGCACGAAAGCGUGGGGAGCAAACAGGAUUAGAUACCCGAGUAGUC